This 374-nucleotide ribosomal RNA is filed under the name uncultured organism. Its description in RNAcentral is "partial 16S ribosomal RNA". It matches the Rfam family "Bacterial small subunit ribosomal RNA", at positions 527 to 896 of the family's 1533-position model. The record is from RNAcentral.
GUAGGUGGCAAGCGUUGUCCGGAAUUAUUGGGCGUAAAGCGCGUGCAGGCGGUCCUUUAAGUCUGAUGUGAAAGCCCACGGCUCAACCGUGGAGGGUCAUUGGAAACUGGGGGACUUGAGUACAGAAGAGGAAAGCGGAAUUCCAAGUGUAGCGGUGAAAUGCGUAGAGAUUUGGAGGAACACCAGUGGCGAAGGCGGCUUUCUGGUCUGUAACUGACGCUGAGGCGCGAAAGCGUGGGGAGCAAACAGGAUUAGAUACCCUGGUAGUCCACGCCGUAAACGAUGAGUGCUAAGUGUUAGGGGGUUUCCCGCCCCCCUUAGUGCUGCAGCUAACGCAUUAAGCACUCCGCCUGGGGAGUACGGCCGCAAGGCUG